UGUUUUCAUUCUCUCUCUCUCUCUCUCUCGCUCUCUAUAAAUAGUGGUGUUAAUUUUAGGCAGUGAGAUAAAACGUCAGUGUUUCACAGUCUCUCAGAACAGAUGGGAGCUGUGAACUCUUCCAGCUGCCCACCUGUGUGUGUGUGUGUGUGUGUAUGGAGAGAGACAUGACGUUUAAUGUUUGUGUGUGUGUGUGUGUGUGUAUAUAUAUAAAUAUAUAUGAGAGUGAUAAACUGUGGGUAAGGUCCGUUUCCAUGCGCACUGCACUACUACUUCCAAAUUUCUCUUCGCAAUCAAUACACGAAAUCCAUAUUCACAACUUUCCAAACACCAUAAAUGGAUUUUUAUUGGUCUUUUCUUAUACAGUUAACCACACACAGUACUUAAGGCAGUGCUACGUCAUAUAAAACUACAUCACCAAAAAAAUUCAAUGAAUAAAUCACAGCUUGUAUCUGGAGUUGAACUUUGAGUUCGUAAGACCGGGUUUCUUACCCGGAGUGCUUUAAACCGCUGACGUUUUUUUUUUGUUGUUUUUUUAAACACAUUUUAACACGUAUAUAGAACUUGUCCCAGAUGAGGAGAAAAAACAAAACAAAAACAAAACACCACCAUAAGAAUAAAUUCCAGUCUCUAUCUGCAAGGCAAAGACCAGAACAUUUGUUUCUCAAAAAUAUGUUUGCCUUGUACAUCUGUUCUCUGUUCGGUUUACUAUCUCCUGUUUCUCUCAUAUAACUUAUCAGCUGAUAGCUAAACUAGGUGGGUUUGAGCAGGACGUGGAUGAAAUUAUGCUGGGGAGUUGGUCUCGAUAAGCGCGAUGCUCGUCUUCUCAAGUAAGCGCGAAGGACAUGGCAGUUCAAAAGAUGAGACGCAGAGAUGAGGAAGGCAGGCCUGACGACCUUUUUUGCGUCGCUAUGCUCUGCGUCUUCUUAACAUCGGAAUACACUGCUACGAGAUAUCACAACGAAAUACACCGAGUACUCUUUAUUUAUUUAUUUAUUUAUUUGAAAAACCUUCCCGCGAUAAAAACGGCACAAGAGCCAGUUAACGUAUGAAGCUGGAAUGAUUGACAGUUGUGCUAACCGAUCCCCUGUAAGCCCCGCCCCCUUCCUUCCUCCAGUCUCACGUUAGUGGUGUUCUGAGACAGAGUGCCUGUCUUUCUGUCAACGUAAAUGGAGAACUCAUUAAUAUAAAAUAAAAUCUAUCGACGUAUGUUCAGCUCGCCUGACGUUAGACAGGUAUAAAUUUAACAUCAGGUAACUAUAGCGGUGGCACCGAUCUGAUGCGUAGAGUCGGCGUUAAGUUUAAAGCAAAAGCACUGGAUAUCAGAUCCUUUACUAAACGGCAAAAGACUGGAGCAGGUCCAAAAGUCUGUGAGCACUAGUGAAAGUGCUACUAACUUAAUACAACAAUUUAUCAGAAAUUAUAUUAUCGGCAACAACUUUAUUAGUAUUAGUAUCCAUUAGAGUUUAUUAGUACUUGGUGCGUCCCCUUUAUGCGCAAAACCAUCGACCCGUUUGAGAUCGGCGUGUCGUCUGAACGCGUGCUCCGACCGAAGAGAUUAGACAUGAGGGAAAUCUGACCUCUUUUUUUUUUUUACAAAGCAGUUAGCACGGUCGAUAUCACUAAUUCGCUUCCGUUUAAAUACGGACGUAGAAAUAGUGCAUGACCCUGAAUAUUAUAUAUUCACGAUAUUGAACGUUCUAAAAUCCAUUUUUAAAUGAAAAACAAAACAACCCAGAUUUUCAAUGUGGUCUCAGACUUUCGGACCCCGACGUGUAAAGAAACUCAUUUUUCCUUUCAGCAAUUUUAUACUUUAAAAUAUACACUCACCGGACACUUUAUUAGGAACACUGUACUAAUACUGGGUAGGGUCUCGGAACAGCCUCAGAUCUUCGUGGCAUAGAUUGCACAAGAUGUUAGAAACACUCGUGUGAGAUUCUGACGUGAUGGCAUCACGCGGUUGCUGCAGAUUUUUCAGACGCACUUUCAUGUUAAAGUGCUGUUCUAGUGGAUUCCGAUCCAGUGACUGCGCAGGCCAUUAAAGUACACUGAACUCGAAAUUCAGGAAAACAGUGUUCGCACACUGACUUUUGCUUUUGCAAUUCUCAAAUAGGCCGUGGCGUUGAAGCGACGAUUGCUUGGUAUCGACGCUCCCAAAGUGUGCCAAGAAAACAUUUCCCACACCACCUCCACCAGUCUGGACUGUUGACGCGACGCACUUCCGUGGAUUCAUGUUGCUGGUGCCAAAUUCUGACCUUACCACCGGUGUGCGCCUCAUCAGAAAUCCAGAUUCAUCAGACCAGGCUACGUUUGUCCAGUUUCGGUGAGCCUGUGCCCGGUGCGUCCUCAGCUUUCUGUUCUUGGCUGACAGAAGUGGAACCCGUCGUAGCCCGUGCGCCUCGAGGUUCGACGUGUUGUGCAUUCCGAGCUGCUUUUCUGCUCACCGCGAUUGUACACAGUGGUUAUACUGUACUGUAUCUGUUACUUGAACCAGUCUGGACAUUUUCUGUCCACCUCUCUCUCAUUUCCCUUUAUUGCACCGUUCUAAGCAGACUGCUCCGAGUGGAAAUCCCAGGAGAUCAGCAGUUAUAGAAAUACUCAAACCAGCCCGUCUGGUACCAACGGUCAGAAUCACCGAGAUCACAUGUUCGCGUCGUACCGCUGCAACACGAUUGGCCGAUUAGAGAAUUGCAUGAACGUGUAGGUGUACAGGUGUUCCUAAUAAAGUGCUUCAGAUAGGAUAGGAAUAUCAGGCGGGUAUCAAGCUCACGCCAUCAGUAUCAGUACCGGAAGUGGUAUCGGUGCCAGCUCUAUAUCUACACUUAUUGGAUUCGACCGGAAUAGGCCUACGGUGAAGUGUCAGAAAGUCUUUACGAAUAACGUUAACAGGAAUGAUAAUUGGUCAGAGAUUGAAAUCGCCGUCGUGUGCUUUGCACUCCUGCCCCAGUCCUUGGCUCAGACUCGUUCAAACAGUUCGAGCAGCAGAUAAACAGUGAAAACGUCAGCCGUGUGGAACCGAGUCACGGUUUCUACUAGUGAUGUCAGACGAGUGAUGUGUGAAAGGGUUCUGUCGGACGAAUAACGUACGUUAAUUUUUUUGUUUGUUUUUUUUAAACCGAGUUCUCAACAAAAAUGCCAGCAGGACCAUGCAAGACUCCUCUUCGGGGUCUGGGAAUGGAUUUCUUAUCGUAACCACUGUCUUCUGCAACGCUUUCAGCCCUUGACGUCCUUCCUCUUUGCCGCUACAGCAAAUAUCUGAGCUCUUUUGAGCGCCGGGGUACGCGAACGCCUGAUUAACUGCCCUAAAAGAAUGUCUGAGCUGUUCUAUGGUUGCAGGAUUAUGUGACAUGGUCAUUUGUCUUGCAGUGUAAGAAGUCUCACGAAACAUCUGGAAGGUGUCUCAGUAAUAGUGAAGAACAUUGUCAAGUGAUCGCUGGUGUUUUAACGGCUGUAGCUAAGUGUGUUUUCUGUACAUUACAGCUGAGCAGCAUGCACUAUGCGUUCGCACCGAGCAAUUCGAUCGGGUUUUUAUCCACGGCGCCUGUGUCUCGGUUACCGUCACGGCAUUUCGAUCACGCCGUGAGGAUGGGCGAUCUAAUCAUGCACUACGGAGUUUCACCACACGACGACGUUACUAAAACCGUACAGUGUGCUCAUGGCUUUUAAAAUGUCAAAAUCCCUCGCUAAGAGCGGCUCUGAAUAUGAACACUGGCCAUUCGAAAACCUUCACGCGACUUGGACAAAGCGUCCGGCACAUGGCCGUCGGUUCAGUCUCGGACCGCUAUUCCGUGUUUCUCCGAGACGCCGAGGGCGGCGUCGGCCACUAGAUAAAGUCGUCAUAAUACAUUCACCAAUGUGCAUCCACGGUUCUGUAAACAUUAACGAGAAACACAUCACAGGCGUGUCCUGUAGAGCUUUCUAGCGUGAGGUCGAUGGGCUCUAUGCUUGUAAACAUCAUCACGUCGCUGUCGCGAAAAGAGUGCGAGCUAUAUAAAACCGAACAGUCGAAAUACAGAGGCGUAGAAAAGAGGCUACAUUUAACACACUUGGCACGAAAUGCAGCCAAGGAAUACUAUAUGUGCGACGGCGAAAGAAACGAUUCAAACGACGACGGGGGAAAAAAAAAACAAACGGAAUGUUUCAAAAUGGCUGAAGAAGAGAGCCUGAAUCUCUGGCUUGAAAGAAUGUACGGCCUCCGUUCCAUGUCUGUACAUCCGUCCAGAAAAUGUGCCAAUAUAUAUAUAUAUAUAUAUAUACAGCCCCAAUCCUCAGAGCCUCGUCCAUCCCCACAUAUUCUCUUUCAUGUAUCCGUCUUCAUGCAGUUCCGCAUGUUCUAUGUUUGUUCUCAUAGUUACCCUUGUUUUUUUCACAUUCCAUGCCCAGAGGAUGUGAUUAGAAAGCUUGGUACAGUCAGUUCUUCAAAGAUUGACCACAGGAAGUCUGCAUAAGGAGAGAGAGAGAGAGAGAGAGAGAGAGGAGAGAGGAGAGGGAGGGAGGGAGAGAAGAAAGGGACAGAGUUUAUCUUGUGUGAAAUUAAGUUUGAAAUCCCCUGGCUGGAAAAAGAGUGGAGAUUUCACAGGUUGUUUUCUCUCUUCGUUUCACUCCCCUCCUCCCGUCCUCUCUCGGCGGACAGUUGAUAUGAUGAUUAGUAGAUUAGGACGAAGGAAGAAAAGAAAUCAUGCCCGGAAAGCGUAAAUGAUGCGUUUAGCUUUGUACAAGUUCUCCCGCUCCGUCGUAGACGUCGGAGUGCGCUUUAAAGCACGCACGCAGACGAGCAUCGGCACCCUCGUCGUUCUGCCUCAGAGCCACGCGCACGUUCGUCUCGCGCUCCUUCCGAGAGCCUUCCGUUGACGGUCGCGGUAUGUUCGGGCUUUCCUCAUGGGGGACCAGCCGAAUGUUCGCACAUGGUCCGAACUGUCAGAUAUUCCUAGCCAUAUGUGAUUAUACCCCCACACACACACGCACACACACACACACACGAUCUACCUUUCUCUGUCAGGGAACGAGGGGGUGCUCUGAAGUGUGUGCCUGCUAUCCUCUGGGGCCAGGGAACGAGGGAUGGCGAGGGAAAGAGGGGGAGGACGCUGAGACAGGCUGCGGUCAUAACUGAGAGAGAGAGAGAGAGAGAGAGAGACAUUACUUUUCGUGUAGAAACUCGUACAGGAGGAAUAAAACAGAGGCGUUAAAAUAGCAGCGAGAUAAAAUUUCCGAGAUGCCGAGCGCAGGUUAAUGCGCUCGCUGUGUUCAUCCACACGCAUCGUCGUUACAGAGCACGGAGAGACACUGUGCAUAAUUACAGCUUUUACAUUUGUGAAAUUACAGCCGGCAGUUAUUAUCUGUGACAGACUCGGAGGUACAGGUAGAUAGUGCAGAGGGCUGUUCAUGCAAUAUUCACAGUGUUCUCGCUCUCUCUCUCUCAAAUACACACACACACACACUGAAGAAAGAGCGAGAUCAGGUUCUGCUCUGAGUGCGAGGCAAUAACCAGAGGAGAGUCGUUAGAGCAGGAGGCUGAUGCACACAGAAUGCAUAAUGCACAGAACAUUGUGUGUGUGUGUGUUUGAUCUGUCCAUAAGAGGCUGCACGACAAAUUGAUGGCGACUCGGUUAAUAUGAUGAUAAGGAGUACUGCUUGAUCUAUGUGAAGACUGAAAAUGCCCUGUAAUCACUCAGGUAUUGAGUGAAUGUACACACACACACACACACACACACACAUCAUCCAAAUACACGUUCGAGCUACUGUAUUCAAGUCGGUUACGGCGACGUAUAACGUCCGACGAGCCCGUUAGUGCAAACUUCCCCGAAUAAAAACCUGUACAUUUCUACAACAGAUUUCAUAUCGCGACUUCAUAUUGCGUCAGUGUAUUCCCCUGCCGUAACGGAGACCUGGGCUUAGGACCGGAUGAGUUCGAUACAUCAUGAGAUGUAUCUGUAGAUUUGAUCAUCUGCAGCACUCUCAAUAAUUUAAAAGCACCGCCUGCAGGUCCCCCAGGCCAGGCCGAACGAAAGCUCCAAGAGAGAAAACUGCAAAGGCUUCCACAAAAGACAGGCAGAACGUCGAGCUGUCUCGCAGAGCCGUGCAGGCUUCCCUCUAAUGCCUCCACUCACGGAGAGAUAACCCGAGAGAAAAUCCGGCGUUCUGGUGUGUGAAGUAUGGCAUUAUCGGUCUGAAUACACACACACACACACACGUCGUACUAUCCUUCCACUGACUUAAUUAUUAAUGCAUCUAAUUAAUGCUAUAUGCCAAGUCUAAAUCUAACCGUAACCCUUAUUUAUUUAUUUAUUUUAUCUCAGAUAUUCCUAUCCGUGUGGGUCUCAUUUAGUCCUCAACAAGAUAUAAAAACAUGUUCACACACACGCACGCACGCACGCGCGCACGCACGCGCUGGGCAGCAAGGACAGCUGAAGUGCUGAAAUCCCCUCACCAGAGUUUGGCCGAUAUGAUGAGCGCAGAGAGAAUCAGGAGAGAUGAGAUAGUCACGGUGACGUAAAACUGAGGAUCCACUACAGAAAGAGAAAAGAACGCUAGAUUAGGGAAUACAAACAGAGCGCCAGGAAUACGAACACAAGGGACACGAAGAUAAAGGUAACACAGAGGAGUUUCAAAUCUGAGUAAGUGCAGUAGCAGUUGAAGAAGGUUGCAAUGCCACAAGCAGCUGAAAUGUUCACUCUCCACUUUCCUCUUCCUAAGCGUGUGGGAGCUCAAAGAGAAGCAUUGUGGGUAGUGAACAGCUCGAGCGUCCGUCCAGGUGCCCACCUUCUUCAAUCUCUCUUUCCUCUGCGUCUCGUUCCUGCUCCUCUGCCGAGUCCUUGGCUUCGAUGGACAGCGGCUGCUGUUGGGUUUGGUUGGCUUGGGCGUUCCUGCGACGCGGCCACACCUCGGGUGUGGCCUGCUUCACGCCCUCGACUUCCUGACUGGACAGGAAGUGAUGCGUCUCGUCCUCCAGCGGCUGCGUGGGACCCCAGUCGACUGCCCAGAGCGGAGUGGGUGUGGCCUGGGGUGUAGCGGACAGCUGCAUGUCGACAGGCUCGUCGCCCGCACGGCAAUGAGGGGGACAAAUGAUGACGGCAACCAGCAGGAGGCGCAAGAGAGCAGUGAGUCCAGAGACGGAGCUACAAAAAAAAAAAAUGUAAGAAAGAACAUUAACACUAUUGAUGUUUGAUGUAUUGAGUAGCGAUAAAUAACUCAUUAAGCACUUGCACACUUCCUCGCUCUCUUUUCAUUACCAUCGCUCCAUCGCUUCUCUUUUCACUGGUUGUUCGCUCCUCUGAUCAUCUCUUGAAAGAGGGAGACGAGGAGAGGGGGAGCGCUUGGCUCCUGACACUUACUGAAAGAUCGUAAACAGAUGGCUGUAGGGGGGAACGACGCUGCAGCUUGAGAGGGAGAACACAAACAAACUCACAUCUUUCAGUCAUAACCUCAAGGAUCAAACACGCACGAAAUGAUCUAGGAAGAACAUUCACACACACACACAUAAAUAAACCAAUUACAAUUUUACACACACACACACACACAUAAAUAAAACCAUUCAUAUACACAUAUGCAAGGGAAGAAAUAUAGCAGUAUAUAUUGCCCAUUCUACCACACACACACACACACACACACACACACACACACACCUGUAGACACAUCCACUGCUUUAAUCCAGUUCCUGACUCAGGCAAUAACUCAGCAACUGGAUUUAGAUCCGAUGACGUCUUUAACACUACUACAUGUGAAACAGAGAAACACACAUGCACACACACACACACACACACACACACACACACAUGUACGCAAAUGCAUGCAGAUCACUAGUGUGUAGAAAGCCAUCAGUCCACAUGCUUACCGCUCGCUGCUGAAGGAGGGAGUGGGAGAGAGCCAGAGUGUGUCAGAGUGAGAAAAAGCAUUGGUUGCCUUAGCGACAGAGACAUGGAGAGAGAGAGUGAGUGAGAGAGAGAGAGAGAGAGAGAGAGAGGGCAUAAGUGAGAGAGAAAGAACAUAAACAAGAAAGAGAGAGAGCAUGAUAGAGAUAGCUUGAGAGAAAGAGUAUUAGAGAGAGAGAGAGAGUGUGAGAGAGAUGGUUGUUCCUGUAAAAGACAGAUUUAAAUGCUAAUUAUGCUUUUCAACUGGUUCAGUUUAACCGAACAGAAGCGGAAAAUGGAACGCAUUUUGAAAACAGAAACCAAAAGAUAAAACGGAGAAACAAUUUCAUCAUAUUCUGUCUGAGAACAGGGAAGGGAGAAAAAGUAUUUCGUUCGUUUCAGGAGGACAGACAGGAUCAACAAAAUAGAGGCAGUAAAAAAAAAUCAAUACGCAUUAAUUUGGCGCUGGGUGGAGGAGUGCACGAUGAAGAGGUAUCCUGAUAUUUAUAGACAGAAAUGCCAGAGAUGAUAAAUAAUCUCAGACACACACACACAGUCAUAGCAUGGCACGUUUAUUGGCUCCAUGAUGCAAGAUUUACAUGAAGAACAAGCUGUUGUCCAUCCGCGCUCUUUGCCCUGCCGCCACCCGCUCAAUCUGCUAAACUUCACACCUCACGUUCUAGCUCUUCCUGUCUUGGUCUCUCUCAUUUCUCUCUCUCUCUCACUGGAGGACGCAGCGUAGCCACGAUGAUCCCGACACUUCUUCUCCGUCGCUGGCCGUGGACUCUUCAUCUUCAUCUUCGUCAUCGUCUGAUGAAAGAG
Molecule: long non-coding RNA, 8669 nt
Organism: Ictalurus punctatus (channel catfish)
Lineage: Eukaryota; Metazoa; Chordata; Actinopteri; Siluriformes; Ictaluridae
Source: Ensembl